GGUUAAGCGACUAAGCGUACACGGUGGAUGCCCUGGCAGUCAGAGGCGAUGAAGGACGUGCUAAUCUGCGAAAAGCGUCGGUAAGGUGAUAUGAACCGUUACAGCCGGCGAUGUCCGAAUGGGGAAACCCAGUGCAAUUCGUUGCACUAUCGUUAACUGAAUACAUAGGUUAACGAGGCGAACCGGGGGAACUGAAACAUCUAAGUACCCCGAGGAAAAGAAAUCAACCGAGAUUCCCCCAGUAGCGGCGAGCGAACGGGGAGCAGCCCAGAGUCUGAAUCAGCUUGUGUGUUAGUGGAACGGUCUGGAAAGUCCGACGGUACAGGGUGAUAGUCCCGUACACCAAAAUGCACAGGCUGUGAACUCGAAGAGUAGGGCGGGACACGUGGUAUCCUGUCUGAAUAUGGGGGACCAUCCUCCAAGGCUAAAUACUCCUGACUGACCGAUAGUGAACCAGUACCGUGAGGGAAAGGCGAAAAGAACCCCGGCGAGGGGAGUGAAAAAGAACCUGAAACCGUGUACGUACAAGCAGUGGGAGCACCUUCGGGUGUGACUGCGUACCUUUUGUAUAAUGGGUCAGCGACUUAUAUUCUGUAGCAAGGUUAACCGUAUAGGGGAGCCGCAGGGAAACCGAGUCUUAACUGGGCGUUAAGUUGCAGGGUAUAGACCCGAAACCCGGUGAUCUAGCCAUGGGCAGGUUGAAGGUUGGGUAACACUAACUGGAGGACCGAACCGACUAAUGUUGAAAAAUUAGCGGAUGACUUGUGGCUGGGGGUGAAAGGCCAAUCAAACCGGGAGAUAGCUGGUUCUCCCCGAAAGCUAUUUAGGUAGCGCCUCGUGAAUUCAUCUUCGGGGGUAGAGCACUGUUUCGGCUAGGGGGUCAUCCCGACUUACCAACCCGAUGCAAACUGCGAAUACCGAAGAAUGUUAUCACGGGAGACACACGGCGGGUGCUAACGUCCGUCGUGAAGAGGGAAACAACCCAGACCGCCAGCUAAGGUCCCAAAGUCAUGGUUAAGUGGGAAACGAUGUGGGAAGGCACAGACAGCCAGGAUGUUGGCUUAGAAGCAGCCAUCAUUUAAAGAAAGCGUAAUAGCUCACUGGUCGAGUCGGCCUGCGCGGAAGAUGUAACGGGGCUAAACCAUGCACCGAAGCUGCGGCAGCGACACUAUGUGUUGUUGGGUAGGGGAGCGUUCUGUAAGCCUGCGAAGGUGUGCUGUGAGGCAUGCUGGAGGUAUCAGAAGUGCGAAUGCUGACAUAAGUAACGAUAAAGCGGGUGAAAAGCCCGCUCGCCGGAAGACCAAGGGUUCCUGUCCAACGUUAAUCGGGGCAGGGUGAGUCGACCCCUAAGGCGAGGCCGAAAGGCGUAGUCGAUGGGAAACAGGUUAAUAUUCCUGUACUUGGUGUUACUGCGAAGGGGGGACGGAGAAGGCUAUGUUAGCCGGGCGACGGUUGUCCCGGUUUAAGCAUGUAGGCUGGUUGUCCAGGCAAAUCCGGAUAAUCAAGGCUGAGGUGUGAUGACGAGGCACUACGGUGCUGAAGUAACAAAUGCCCUGCUUCCAGGAAAAGCCUCUAAGCAUCAGGUAACAUUAAAUCGUACCCCAAACCGACACAGGUGGUCAGGUAGAGAAUACCAAGGCGCUUGAGAGAACUCGGGUGAAGGAACUAGGCAAAAUGGUGCCGUAACUUCGGGAGAAGGCACGCUGGUGUGUAGGUGAAGUCCCUGCGGAUGGAGCUGAGACCAGUCGAAGAUACCAGCUGGCUGCAACUGUUUAUUAAAAACACAGCACUGUGCAAACACGAAAGUGGACGUAUACGGUGUGACGCCUGCCCGGUGCCGGAAGGUUAAUUGAUGGGGUUAUCCGUAAGGAGAAGCUCUUGAUCGAAGCCCCGGUAAACGGCGGCCGUAACUAUAACGGUCCUAAGGUAGCGAAAUUCCUUGUCGGGUAAGUUCCGACCUGCACGAAUGGCGUAAUGAUGGCCAGGCUGUCUCCACCCGAGACUCAGUGAAAUUGAACUCGCUGUGAAGAUGCAGUGUACCCGCGGCAAGACGGAAAGACCCCGUGAACCUUUACUAUAGCUUGACACUGAACAUUGAGCCUUGAUGUGUAGGAUAGGUGGGAGGCUUUGAAGCGUGGACGCCAGUCUGCGUGGAGCCAACCUUGAAAUACCACCCUUUAAUGUUUGAUGUUCUAACGUUGGCCCCUUACCGGGGUUGCGGACAGUGUCUGGUGGGUAGUUUGACUGGGGCGGUCUCCUCCCAAAGCGUAACGGAGGAGCACGAAGGUUAGCUAAUCCUGGUCGGACAUCAGGAGGUUAGUGCAAUGGCAUAAGCUAGCUUGACUGCGAGCGUGACGGCGCGAGCAGGUGCGAAAGCAGGUCAUAGUGAUCCGGUGGUUCUGAAUGGAAGGGCCAUCGCUCAACGGAUAAAAGGUACUCCGGGGAUAACAGGCUGAUACCGCCCAAGAGUUCAUAUCGACGGCGGUGUUUGGCACCUCGAUGUCGGCUCAUCACAUCCUGGGGCUGAAGUAGGUCCCAAGGGUAUGGCUGUUCGCCAUUUAAAGUGGUACGCGAGCUGGGUUUAGAACGUCGUGAGACAGUUCGGUCCCUAUCUGCCGUGGGCGCUGGAGAAUUGAGGGGGGCUGCUCCUAGUACGAGAGGACCGGAGUGGACGCAUCACUGGUGUUCGGGUUGUCAUGCCAAUGGCACUGCCCGGUAGCUAAAUGCGGAAGAGAUAAGUGCUGAAAGCAUCUAAGCACGAAACUUGCCCCGAGAUGAGUUCUCCCUGAGACUUUAAGUCUCCUGAAGGAACGUUAAAGACGAUGACGUUGAUAGGCCGGGUGUGUAAGCGCAGCGAUGCGUUGAGCUAACCGGUACUAAUGAACCGUGAGGCUUAACCUU
This 2901-nucleotide ribosomal RNA is filed under the name Klebsiella pneumoniae. RNAcentral describes it as "23S ribosomal RNA". It matches the Rfam family "Bacterial large subunit ribosomal RNA". The record is from RNAcentral. Lineage: Bacteria; Pseudomonadati; Pseudomonadota; Gammaproteobacteria; Enterobacterales; Enterobacteriaceae.